RNAcentral lists this ribosomal RNA (252 nucleotides) under uncultured bacterium. Its description in RNAcentral is "partial 16S ribosomal RNA". It matches the Rfam family "Bacterial small subunit ribosomal RNA", at positions 525 to 776 of the family's 1533-position model. The record is from RNAcentral.
ACAGAGAGGGCAAGCGUUGUCCGGAAUGACUGGGCGUAAAGCGCGCGCAGGCGGUCUUUUAAGUUGGGUGUGAAAUCCCCGGGCUUAACCUGGGAACUGCAUUCGAUACUGGAAGACUAGAGGCCGAGAGAGGAAAGCGGAAUGACGAGUGUAGAGGUGAAAUUCGUAGAUAUUCGUCGGAACACCAGAGGCGAAGGCGGCUUUCUGGCUCGGACCUGACGCUCAGGCGCGAAAGCGUGGGGAGCAAACAGG